RNAcentral lists this ribosomal RNA (481 nucleotides) under uncultured bacterium. RNAcentral describes it as "partial 16S ribosomal RNA". It matches the Rfam family "Bacterial small subunit ribosomal RNA", at positions 30 to 507 of the family's 1533-position model. The record is from RNAcentral.
AUUGAACGCUGGCGGCAUGCUUUACACAUGCAAGUCGAACGGUAACAGGUCUUCGGAUGCUGACGAGUGCGAACGGGUGGGUAAUACAUCGGAACGGUCCUAGUAGUUGGGGAUAACUACUCGAAAGAGUAGCUAAUACCGCAUGAGAUUUACGGGUUAAAGCAGGGGACCUUCGGGCCUUGGUCUACUAGAGCGGCCGAUGGCAGAUGAGGUAGGUGGUUGGGUAAAGGCUUACCAAGCCUGCGAUCUUUAGCUGGUCUUAGGGGACGACCAGCCACACUGUGACUGAGACACGGCCCAGACUCCUACGGGAGGCAGCAGUGGGGAAUUUUGGACAAUGGGCGAAAGCCUGAUCCAGCAAUGCCGCGUGCAGGAUGAAGGCCCUCGGGUUGUAAACUGCUUUUGUACGGAACGAAAAGCCUGGGGCUAAUAUCCCCGGGUCAUGACGGUACCGUAAGAAUAAGCACCGGCUAACUACGUG